Molecule: ribosomal RNA, 292 nt
Filed under: Blastocystis sp.
Lineage: Eukaryota; Bigyra; Opalinata; Blastocystidae
Description: partial small subunit ribosomal RNA
Rfam family: Eukaryotic small subunit ribosomal RNA
Source: RNAcentral
UUUUUGAUUAAGCCAUGCAUGUGUAAGUAUAAAUAGUUAACUUUGAAACUGCGAAUGGCUCAUUAUAUCAGUUAUAGUUUAUUUGAUGAAGAAUACUAAUUGGAUAACCGUAGUAAUUCUAGAGCUAAUACAUGUAUAAAGUCUUGUAGACUGCAUUUAUUAGAAUGAAAACCAUAGGUUUCGGCCUAUUCGUGAGUAAUAAUAACUAAUCAUAUCGUAUGCUUAUGUAACGAUGUGUCUUUCAUAGUUUCUGCCCUAUCAGCUUUCGAUGGUAGUGUAUUGGACUACCAUG